AAAUUGAAGAGUUUGAUCAUGGCUCAGAUUGAACGCUGGCGGCAGGCCUAACACAUGCAAGUCGAACGGUAGCACAGAGAGCUUGCUCUCGGGUGACGAGUGGCGGACGGGUGAGUAAUGUCUGGGAAACUGCCUGAUGGAGGGGGAUAACUACUGGAAACGGUGGCUAAUACCGCAUAACGUCGCAAGACCAAAGAGGGGGACCUU
RNAcentral lists this ribosomal RNA (207 nucleotides) under Salmonella enterica subsp. enterica serovar Infantis. RNAcentral describes it as "partial 16S ribosomal RNA". It matches the Rfam family "Bacterial small subunit ribosomal RNA", at positions 1 to 216 of the family's 1533-position model. Lineage: Bacteria; Pseudomonadati; Pseudomonadota; Gammaproteobacteria; Enterobacterales; Enterobacteriaceae. The record is from RNAcentral. RNAcentral also lists the same sequence under 5 other names.